CCUGCGUCACAGUCUGGAGCCGGUGGGAGGGUCUCUGAUAGUGCAGAGAGCUGGGAAGCUCUUAAGUUUGUGUAGCCUGAGCAGGAUUUAAUUACUGGAGAGUCCUGGGAGCCUCAGGGGCAAUACGGCGUUCGGCAAACUACCUUUGGUCUGGACUGGGUGGUACAGGAAGCCUAGGUUUGGGCUAGGGAGGAAAUGAGGCAGGGUUGGCUUCAGAGACCAAGGGUACCCUAGCGACAUGGGGAUGGGGAGGCACGAUGGUGUAAGGAGGCUCUUGAAUGGUGGAUUCGAGGGGCCUGGGGGACUGAGUGAGUGCGGGGCUGGGGGCAGCGCUGGGCUAGCGUUAGUUCAGAUACUCUGGCCCAGGUGAAAAUGGUGUCGCUUUCCGAGAUGGGGAUGAAGGAGGGGACUGGGCAUUGACAAGUGUAGUUCUAGUCAGGAAAUGGGGUGGCCUUAGAUACUGGACAGCUGCUUUUGUGGGUCAGACGCACACAGAGUGGCACAUGGAGAAGUCACAGGGUCAGUGAGAUUUUCUGGGGGACGGUGGGUGUGGGUGGAACCCUGUGGCGCCGGAAGGGGAGUGAGGAGGAGCGGGAGUAGAGGAAGCCCCCUUGGCUUUCCACACUUUACCUUUGAGCUUGAAGGAGGGUGGGGGACAGCUGCAUUACCCUACCACAGGGCAGGGGCUAUUCAGGGCCUGAUGGUGAGGAACAGGGAUUCAGGACACUCCAGGCCAGGUGUUCCCCACCCUGCAGAUUGCCCCCACACCAAGAAUCAAUAUUAUAUAUGAGAAAGCAAGAGGCAUCUUCUGGACGGCCUGGGUAUAAAGGCACAGCCUGUGAGUGACAACACAUGAUGGCAAAAAGACCAGAACCCACUCAGACACAGGCUUGUGACCUUUGCAAGUCACGUAACUCUCUCAGAUCGUGGUUACUCAUCUGUUAAAUAGAGAUGAUACCAACCUGUUAGGGACAUGGAGAGAAGGGAGGCACUUAGAGCGGUGCAAGACACAAAGUACAGGACAUACCUCUGUCCAAUCCUGAGAAAAACAUCAAACAAAUCCCAGUGGAGGAACAUUCUACAAAAUACCUGACCCAGUAAGCCUCAAAAUUGUAGGAUCCCUUUGGAUCCAAGAAGAGCGACAGAGAGGUAAGGUCUAAGCUCACUUUUUAAGUGGGGAGAAGACUACAACCAGCAUCUACUAUUUGCCAGUUGCUUAGUGAUGGCUCUGGAGAGUCGACCCUGUCCCCAUUGUGAUCAGCAACUGCUCCUCAAAGUAGAGGAGCUGGUCUACU
Microcebus murinus (gray mouse lemur) is the source of this 1295-nucleotide non-coding RNA. The record is from RefSeq and is a predicted model, not a curated record. NCBI's taxonomy places the organism in Eukaryota, Metazoa, Chordata, Mammalia, Primates, Cheirogaleidae.